This is a long non-coding RNA of Myotis davidii, 150 nucleotides long. RefSeq lists it as uncharacterized. Lineage: Eukaryota; Metazoa; Chordata; Mammalia; Chiroptera; Vespertilionidae. The record is from RefSeq and is a predicted model, not a curated record. The transcript is spliced from 2 exons.
CCCUACCAGGACCCGGGCCAGGGAGAAGCCUGCAACCAAGGGAGAAGAGCUGGCUCAGUCAGAUGUAGAAUCUUCCCAGUCUGCUCAAGGCAUUAUCAACCAAAUAGUUGCAUCCGAAACAUCAGAUCUGUUAAUUAAAAGAAAAGAAGG